UACGAAGGGGGCUAGCGUUGCUCGGAAUCACUGGGCGUAAAGGGUGCGUAGGCUGGUCUUUAAGUCAGGGGUGAAAUCCUGGAGCUCAACUCCAGAACUGCCUUUGAUACUGAAGAUCUUGAGUUCGGGAGAGGUGAGUGGAACUGCGAGUGUAGAGGUGAAAUUCGUAGAUAUUCGCAAGAACACCAGUGGCGAAGGCGGCUCACUGGCCCGAUACUGACGCUGAGGCACGAAAGCGUGGGGAGCAAACAGG
Molecule: ribosomal RNA, 253 nt
Filed under: uncultured bacterium
Lineage: Bacteria
Description: partial 16S ribosomal RNA
Rfam family: Bacterial small subunit ribosomal RNA
Source: RNAcentral